RNAcentral lists this long non-coding RNA (245 nucleotides) under Homo sapiens (human). RNAcentral describes it as "HSALNT0166104". Lineage: Eukaryota; Metazoa; Chordata; Mammalia; Primates; Hominidae. The record is from RNAcentral.
AUACGGAGGCCUUAAUUCUGGCUAUCAGUUAGGUUUCACAGUUUUCUUCACGUCAUAGCUACUGCAAGCCUAGUUCACAGCAGUCUGUACCUUCUUGCACUAGUUCUGCAGCUGUCUUCAGAGUUCUUGAUCCAACUUGCCCGAUCAUACCAUAUCAGCCUGGGAUGGGUGAUGGCCUUGAAACUUUCCCUUCUUUGGCAUGCACUACAUUUUGUUAAGUAAAGUUCUCAUUGGACCUAUGAAGA